Molecule: ribosomal RNA, 474 nt
Filed under: uncultured bacterium
Lineage: Bacteria
Description: bacterial SSU rRNA
Rfam family: Bacterial small subunit ribosomal RNA
Source: RNAcentral
AACGAACGCUGGCGGCAGGCUUAACACAUGCAAGUCGAACGGUUGUAGCAAUACAGCAGUGGCAGACGGGUGAGUAACACGUGGGAACCUUCCUAGGGGUACGGAACAACUCAGGGAAACUUGAGCUAAUACCGUAUACGUCCGUGAGGAGAAAGAUUUAUCGCCCUUAGACGGGCCCGCGUCGGAUUAGCUAGUUGGUGGGGUAACGGCCUACCAAGGCGACGAUCCGUAGCUGAUCUUAGAGGAUGAUCAGCCACACUGGGACUGAGACACGGCCCAGACUCCUACGGGAGGCAGCAGUGGGGAAUCUUGGACAAUGGGCGCAAGCCUGAUCCAGCCAUGCCGCGUGAGUGAAGAAGGUCUUCGGAUUGUAAACUGCUUUUGUACGGAACGAAACGGUGAGCUCUAAUACAGUUUGCUAAUGACGGUACCGUAAGAAUAAGCACCGGCUAACUACGUGCCAGCAGCCGCGGU